GGUGGUAUAGCUUAGCGGAAAAGCGUUACGUUGACAUCUUAAAGGUCACAGGUUCGAUCCUUGUUAUCCCCA
RNAcentral lists this transfer RNA (72 nucleotides) under Holospora undulata HU1. It matches the Rfam family "tRNA". From Rfam's summary of the family: Transfer RNA (tRNA) molecules are approximately 80 nucleotides in length. Their secondary structure includes four short double-helical elements and three loops (D, anti-codon, and T loops). The record is from Rfam by way of RNAcentral. Lineage: Bacteria; Pseudomonadati; Pseudomonadota; Alphaproteobacteria; Holosporales; Holosporaceae.